Molecule: RNA transcript, 2546 nt
Organism: Salmo salar (Atlantic salmon)
Lineage: Eukaryota; Metazoa; Chordata; Actinopteri; Salmoniformes; Salmonidae
Gene name: E3 ubiquitin-protein ligase TRIM45
Source: RefSeq, a predicted model, not a curated record
AGAACGUACCUAGUGUGGAGUUUUACGGAAGAAAAGUUGAGGGUGUAGGAAACAGUGUAACAAUAGUUAUAGGCCUAUAUAGUCCUACACUGAAUGUUAUUUUGGGGUUACGGUAUGUAUGCUGGGGUUUUAUGUUGCCUACUAACGUUAACUGUAACCUAGGCUGCUGAUAUAGUUGCAAAUUGGUAGCCUAGGUCGAUUUCUGACACCUGUAUUUUUUAUUCUUAAACAAAAUCCGGCAACAAAUUGUUUUGAAAGAAACGAGACAAUACUAUAAAACACAAUGUCACACUGUGACCAAAUUUUGGAAAAAGAUGUGGAUUCCUCGCCAACCGCGACCACAAACUCGAGCUCUAAAAACGGAGAUAAUGGGGACGUCGUGGUCAAUGCGAGGGCAGUGUGCCGCGUUUGUAAAUGUUUAUAUCGCGAGCCUAAAAUUAUGCAGUGUUUACACACCUUCUGCGCAGACUGCGUUCGUCAACUGGAACCAUUUUCGGUGUCUUCGGGAGUACACAAUGGUAAAGCGGUCCCUCUGGAAGGCGAGCCGCUCUCCUCUGCUGUCACUGUUCUCUGUCCGGAGUGUGACUCCGAGGUGGACAUCCCGCUGUCCGGAGUGGACGGGCUGACCACUGACCACUUGGCCCUGGACGAAGUGUUUCUGGAGACGCUGAUGAGCAAGAACUCUGUGGUAUGCGACCUGUGCAGCGACGGGGACGCAGAGAAGCGUUGUGAGGUGUGCAGUGUCAACCUCUGUGAGUUUUGUAUUCAAGCACACAGGAGACAGAAGAGGACGUCGUCUCACACCGUCCAGUGUCUGGAGGACCUGAAGACCAAGGGUUGUCUCUCUCGGCCCGUCCUGUGCUCCCUCCACCCUGGCCAGGAGCUGCGUCUCUUCUGUGAGCCCUGUGACCUACCUGUCUGCCUGGAGUGUGCUGCCACCUUCCACCGCGACCACCGCUGCCUCCCCACACGUGAUGUCAUCGAUCGCCAUGGGGGCCGUAUCCGGGAUUUGGUUACCGGGCGCCUGCGGCCACGGCUGGACCAGCUGGAGGAGUCACUUCGGAAGGUGGACCUAUCCCAGGAGGCCUUGCAGACCAGGGUGGAUGCGGCGGUGGACGAGGUGCGUUCAUUUGCACGAGGCUACGCUAGCGCUGUGGAGUCGCACUGCCUGUUGCUGCUACGGCGCUUAGAGGAGCUGGGUCUGCAGCGCAGGAGUCAUCUCCAUCUGCAGAGGGCGCAGCUGCAGCAGGCCCUGUCGGACACCCGCGGGGGGGUGGAGUUCGCCGAGCGGCUGCUGACGUGCGGGUCGGACGCAGAAAUCCUCAGUGCUAAGGACGUGACCCUCCGCAGGCUGGCUGUCCUGAUGGAGACGGGCUACAACCCCCCCCCAGCAACCGUCUGCCCCGAUGACGGGAGCAGUAUCUGCUUCCUGCCACGGGAGAGUGCAGGCGACGUGGCGGGAUACCCGAUGGUGGGGGUGAUCCACACCAAGACCCUGGAGCUCAGCAGGUGCACCAUUGAAGGGGAAGGUCUGCAGCGUGGCAGGGAAGGCCAGAGAGGGGAGUUCACCCUGGUGUGUAGAGACUCUGCUGGGGAGCAGAUGGGUCAUGGAGGGGAAGCUGUCCUGGUCAGUAUGGUCCACAAGGAGAAGAAAGACUGCAGAGUGGAGGCGGCGGUGGUGGAUAACAGUGAUGGCUCCUAUUCUGUCUCCUACACCCCCAUGGAGCCAGGGCCCUACUCUGUGUGGGUGUGUGUCAAGGCCCUACACGUUAAGGGUUCCCCCUUUGUCCUGAAUGUGAGGAGACAGGUCCGGUGGCACCGUGGAACAUUCCACUGCUGUUCCUUCUGCUCCAGUGGGGGUUCUAAAGAGGCCCGUUGUGGCUGCACGGGAACCAUGCCAGGGGCAGUAUGCCAAGUAUGUGCAGCAGAGUAAAGGCUACUGAAGGACCGGUACGCUAAGUAUGUGCAGAAUGGGAAAUGUCACAUCAGGAGGGUUCCAGGGCUGUGGUCACGGCCAUAAGGGUCACCCCGGUAAGCCCCACUGGUCGUGCUGUGGCAGUACGGUGGAGGCCUCAGAGUGCCUGCCACAGAGUGUCAUAACGGCAGUGGGGGGAACAAUAACAGCAGUGGGGGGGACAGGCUCGCCCCGGGGCCAACUCAGGACAGUGGAGCUCUGAGGGACAGGGCCAGGACACCUCUACCCCCACCAGACAUCAUGGGUCUACGAAUCAACCCUUUCAGAUGAUGAACGAAAUACUGGGAAAGAAGUGGGACAGUGUGGAUAAAUGUGAGAAGAAAUGAAUUAAGGAAAAGUCAACUAGAUAGGCCGCAGCAUUACUUAUGAAUAUCUAUUCAUUUCUAUUUUCAAGCUGUAGAUUUUAUACACACUACACAAAACAAUAUUUGUUGUGAUCCGCUACUGUAGCUAACUAUUUUGUCGUUUCUAUUGUUUUGCAUGUGCAUGUUACAUCACAAAACUGACUUUGUGCCUUUCAUGUAUUUGAAAGACCAUUAUUUUUAUUCUGAAAUAAAUAACACUGGAAUAA